GAUGAACGCUGGCGGCGUGCCUAAUACAUGCAAGUCGAGCGAACGGACGAUAAGCUUGCUUCUCUGAUGUUAGCGGCUGACGGGUGAGUAACACGUGGAUAACCUACCUAUAAUACUGGGAUAACUUCGGGAAACCGGAGCUAAUACCGGAGAAUAUUUUGAACCGCAUGGUUCAAAAGUGAAAGACGGUCUUGCUGUCACUUAUAGAUGGAUCCGCGCUGCAUUAGCUAGUUGGUAAGGUAACGGCUUACCAAGGCAACGAUGCAUAGCCGACCUGAGAGGGUGAUCGGCCACACUGGAACUGAGACACGGUCCAGACUCCUACGGGAGGCAGCAGUAGGGAAUCUUCCGCAAUGGGCGAAAGCCUGACGGAGCAACGCCGCGUGAGUGAUGAAGGUCUUCGGAUCGUAAAACUCUGUUAUUAGGGAAGAACAUAUGUGUAAGUAACUGUGCACAUCUUGACGGUACCUAAUCAGAAAGCCACGGCUAACUACGUG
This 497-nucleotide ribosomal RNA is filed under the name uncultured bacterium. RNAcentral describes it as "partial 16S ribosomal RNA". It matches the Rfam family "Bacterial small subunit ribosomal RNA", at positions 28 to 507 of the family's 1533-position model. The record is from RNAcentral.